AGCAGCCGCGGUAAUUCCAGCUCCAAUAGCGUAUAUUAAAGUUGUUGCAGUUAAAAAGCUCGUAGUUGAAUUUCGGGGUUCUACCGUUGGUCGGGCUAUAGUCUGUACUGGCGUGUGGAAUUUCUACCUUCUGGGGAACUAUCAUGUUAUUAAUUUAGCGUGGUAGGAAACCAGAACCUUUACCUUGAAAAAUUAGAGUGUUCAAAGCAGGCUUACGCCUGAAUACAUUAGCAUGGAAUAAUAAAAUAGGACGGUGGUCCUGUUUUGUUGGUUUCUGAAUCACCGUAAUGAUUAAUAGGGAUAGUUGGGGGCAUUAGUAUUCAAUUGUCAGAGGUGAAAUUCUUGGAUUUAUUGAAGACUAACUUCUGCGAAAGCAUUUGCCAAGGAUGUUUUCAUUAAUCAAGAACGAAAGUUAGGGGAUCGAAGACGAUCAGAUACCGUCGUAGUCUUAACCAUAAACUAUGCCGA
Molecule: small RNA, 468 nt
Filed under: uncultured Gigaspora
Lineage: Eukaryota; Fungi; Glomeromycota; Glomeromycetes; Diversisporales; Gigasporaceae
Description: SSU rRNA
Rfam family: Eukaryotic small subunit ribosomal RNA
Source: RNAcentral